RNAcentral lists this long non-coding RNA (2078 nucleotides) under Homo sapiens (human). RNAcentral describes it as "HSALNT0039711". Lineage: Eukaryota; Metazoa; Chordata; Mammalia; Primates; Hominidae. The record is from RNAcentral.
CGCCAGGCACAGACAGGAGAAGGGCAGAGACAGGGAGUCCAGGGGAUUCAGGAGGCUCUGGACCGGCCCAUCUCAGUGUGGGACUUUGGUCCUGAGGCGUUGCAGGAACCUCCACCCUGGGGAUGGCCCUGGGAAGACAGAUGCAUGUGGAGGCGGGGGCGCUCACCAGCCUGGGUAACCACAGUAACUAUGGGCCCACUCUGGUGUCUCAGGAGUGAGGAUGAUGCUUAGGGAGAUGCAGAACCUGCCCAAGCUCUUCCCCUCGGGCAGGCACGGGGGAGGGAAGCACAGCGUGGCAAAGCCCUGCAAUGCCAGGCUCUCCUGCCGGCUGGGGCCUCCUGGUGUGACACUAGGGUCUCAUUUAUUUAUUCAAUACAUGCUCACAGACAACACAGGGCCAGUGGCCGGGAAUGCAAAUGUAAAAAUAUCACUGUUGUCAGGAAGGGUGAACAGGACUUGGCAGGGCAAUGACAGCAGGAGAGGAGUUGUUUCCUCUGCAGCCCAGCGCCCUGGCCAGCUCAACGCAAGGCUCCCGUGGAAUGGGCAGCCUGCAAGUGACUGAGUUCAUGUGAAAUGAGAAUUCCCUGGGAAACUGAGGAAGACCCAUGUAUCCAGGCAGGGGCCAGAGCGCAGGACACCCAGCAAGGCCGACCCCUGAGCCUAGCAGCAAACAGCACAGGAGAGCGGCAAACAGUGCAAGCAUUGCCCUCACAUGGGGACCCUGGUGUAAACUGAGGUGACCCAAAGUUUCUGACAGCUUUGAAGCAACAUCUGGCCUGGAUGGUCCUCUGAGGGACUCAGGGGGUUGUGGUUUUGAAAGCUAGAGUGUUUCCCUGACUCCCACCCUCAGGGGCCUGUUAGCCUUCUCUGAAAAAGCCGGGGCCUCAGGACUACCAUUCACGUCUUCCCGAUUCUCCUCCUCCUCUUUCCAGAUGGUGAGAGCGCUGAUGACCUAGCCCAAAGGCGGCUGGAAGGUAGGAGGGUGCCUUUCUUUGAGGACUGCUUCCCAGCAUCAAGAUUUAUAAUCAGAAAAAUGACAGAAGAUUAUAUGCUGAUUUACAAAAAGCAGGCGUGAAAGCACGUCCCCCCCUCACGUCUCUGUAAUGGAUCUGGACACCUUUUCUCUGAGUUCCAUCUCACAGGCUGAUCUUUUAAAUAGACCUCAUUCCUCCAAUUUCCUGCAGUCAUGAAGUUAGACAUUUCUGGGAUUCCGUUUCCUGAAAUGCAAUGUUUCCUGAAUGCCAUUAAGGUGCUUCUCCUGGGAGUUGAACCUGCCUUUGGAUGGAGCCCUUUCCUGUGGAAACACGGGUUCAUGGCUGAAGAGGAAUUUUCCCUCAGGAUCAAUUGCACCUUCAGUCUCACCCAUAUCUGAUUUAGAUGACAUUUAGAUGAGAUUUUGGACCCUGACAUUGAUGCUGGAACAAGCUAAGACUUUUGGGGCUAUCGGGAUAAAAUGAAUGUAUUUUGAAUGUGAGAAGGACCUAAAGUUUGAGAGGACAGAGGCAGAGUGUUAUAGACUGAAUGGGAGGGCUUUGUUCAGGAAGAGCCUUGGAUUGCUGAAUCCCAGGGGAAACUUCAGCUUGUUAGAUGACAUCAGGCCUGUGGAAUCUGCAUGUCCAACUGACUUGUGUGUGAGGACUGAGGAGAUGGGGUGAGAUCAGCUUCACCCUAGCCUUCACCCAGUGCUUGAGCUCCUCUGGAGACAGUGAUGACAAGGAUCAGAGCCUGCCCUGCAAGAACAGCCCCCACAGCUCUGGGUAUCUUCCUGGGACCACUCAGAGGAACGAGAUGUGCUAAGUGUGUCAAAGCAGUGGGGAGUGGAAGGAAGGAGGCAGUGUGGACCUUUGCUGAGCAUGUCUCAGGCAGCUGCUUCCAGCAACAUCGACAUUGAGUCCUCACAACGGCCCUGGGAGGUACAUAGGCACAUCCCUGAAAUGCAGAGAGUCACAGACCCAGAGAGGUCAAGCACUCAUUGAUCACUGAAGCUGGGUGUGGGAUCAGAUUGGCCAGACCCCCCUCUAUCACUCUUCAUGGGCUCAGAAGCUUCCAUGCACACCAUCACCAACCAUGCCUGGAGG